Potamilus streckersoni is the source of this 80-nucleotide non-coding RNA. The record is from the annotation of a GenBank genome assembly. NCBI's taxonomy places the organism in Eukaryota, Metazoa, Mollusca, Bivalvia, Unionida, Unionidae.
UGCAGCAGUAGCCUAGUGGUUAGAGCAUCUGCCUUGGAUGCAGGAGGUCACAGGUUCGAAACUCAGUCAAGUCAUAACAA